ACGGUCGCAUCACGUUGAAACACCGUUUCCCAGACGAUCACCGAAGUUAAGCAACCUCGUUCCUGGCCAGUACAUAAAUGGGUGACCGUUUAGGAAUACUACGUGCCGUAUG
Non-coding RNA from Acanthosepion pharaonis, 112 nucleotides. The record is from the annotation of a GenBank genome assembly. NCBI's taxonomy places the organism in Eukaryota, Metazoa, Mollusca, Cephalopoda, Sepiida, Sepiidae.